GACGAAGGGGGCUAGCGUUGUUCGGAAUUACUGGGCGUAAAGCGAGUGUAGGCGGUUGCCCAAGUCAGGUGUGAAAGCCUUGAGCUCAACUCAAGAAAUGCACUUGGUACUGGGUGGCUAGAGGACCGGAGAGGAUAGUGGAAUUCCCAGUGUAGUGGUGAAAUACGUAGAGAUCCGGAAGAACACCGGUGGCGAAGGCGGCCUGCUGGGCAGUUGCUGACACUGAGGCGCGACAGCGUGGGGAGCAAACAGG
RNAcentral lists this ribosomal RNA (253 nucleotides) under uncultured bacterium. RNAcentral describes it as "partial 16S ribosomal RNA". It matches the Rfam family "Bacterial small subunit ribosomal RNA", at positions 524 to 776 of the family's 1533-position model. The record is from RNAcentral.